GGAAUCCGCUUAAGACAUGCGAGUCGAGAGGGUUCGGCCCUCGGCAUACUGCUCAGUAACACGCGGACAAUCUGCCCUAAGGUGGGGGAUAAUCUCGGGAAACUGAGCAUAAUACCCCAUAGGUCACGGAUGUUGGAAUGCUUCGUGGUCCAAAGCUCCGGCGCCUUAGGAUGAGUCUGCGGCCUAUCAGGUUGUAGUUGGUGUAACGGACCAACUAGCCAACGACGGGUACGGGCGUUGGGAGACGUCGCCCGGAGAUGGAUUCUGAGACACGAAUCCAGGCCCUACGGGGCGCAGCAGUCGCGAAAACUUGUCAAUGGGGGAAACCCCGAACAGGGGAGUCCAAGUGCAUGCGCUUUGCGUAUGCUGUUCAGCUGCCUAAAAAGCAGCCGAAGGAAGGGCUGGGUAAGACAGGUGCCAGCCGCCGCGGUAAUACCUGCAGCCCGAGUGGUGAUCGAUAUUAUUGAGCCUAAAGCGUCCGUAGCCGGACCGGUAAACCCUUGGGUAAAUCGGGCAGCUCAACUGUCCGAAUUCCGAGGGGACUGCCGGUCUUGGGACCGGGUGAGGUCAGAGGUACUCCAGGGGUAGGGGCUAAAUCCUGUAAUCCUUGGGGGACCACCAGUGGCGAAGGCGUCUGACUAGAACGGAUCCGACGGUAAGGGACGAAACCCUGGGUCGCAAACCGGAUUAGAUACCCGGGUAGUCCAGGGCGUAAACGCUGCAGGCUUGGUGUUGGGGAUCCUACGAGGAUGUCCAGUGCCGGAGUGAAGAUGUUAAGCCUGCCGCUUGGGGAGUACGUCCGCAAGGAUGAAACUUAAAGGAAUUGGCGGGAGAGCACAG
This 840-nucleotide ribosomal RNA is filed under the name uncultured archaeon. RNAcentral describes it as "bacterial SSU rRNA". It matches the Rfam family "Archaeal small subunit ribosomal RNA", at positions 35 to 881 of the family's 1478-position model. The record is from RNAcentral.